Molecule: unclassified non-coding RNA, 217 nt
Filed under: Hevea brasiliensis (rubber tree)
Lineage: Eukaryota; Viridiplantae; Streptophyta; Magnoliopsida; Malpighiales; Euphorbiaceae
Source: RNAcentral
GGAAGGUGGUGGAGGAUGUUAAGGUGGUGGAAGAGAUUAAGAAAAGUGAUGAGGUUUCCAAGGCAUCAGAAGCCAUUGCGGAUGUUAGGUCUGAGGUUGAUAAGCUUUCAGAUAGGGUUGCUGCCUUGGAAGUAGCUGUUAAUGGGGGCACACAUGUUGCAGACAAGGAAUUCGUAGUAUCAACAGAGCUGCUGAUGAGGCAAUUGUUGAAAUUGGA